CACGAAUUUCUGGUAGUUGUCGACAUCUAUUUAACAACGAUAUCUGUUGGAAAUCAAGAAAGUCCACGAUUUCUAAGGAAGUAUUCGUCGACACCCCCUGUAUCAAUUUCAAAAUAAAUCUCUAUUCCAGCCUUUUACAUCAAUUUUACAACUUACUUGUGUCAAAAUACCGAUUUUUGAGAUACCCUGAAACUGGCGGAGGUCCGCAAGGCGGCCUGACAUCUGUCUCAUGAUGAGCACUGGCAAAACAGUGCGUUUCUCUUCGAUCUUCCCUGGGAAAGAUUUCCUUUUCAUCAGGAAGAAAUGCAUUUACACAGGUCUUGUAUACGCACUCUUGAUUGUGGUCAUGAGAGAACGAGUGUCUGCUGGACAUGAUCUUGCUCUUCUAAAAUUGGAAAGCUUGGCCGGUCAAAUUGAAAUCUGAAGUUAUUUUGAUAAAACUACGCAGUAUGCAAGUUUGACAGUCAGGGCAACACUAGCCGUAGCCAACCAGAGACCCGGCAAAGCUUGCGAUCCUGGCAGAACAUUCGGUCGCCGCCGCGUGAGAGGACUGCACCAAAACAGUCCGUUGCCUUAGGAUGUUCCACUGACGAAUGCAUGCCCAUUUGGUGAACCUCCAUACUGCGUAGACACAGUAAAGGAUCGUGUUGCGCACCUUGCCAAGUUACUGGUCU
Molecule: long non-coding RNA, 674 nt
Filed under: Micromonas pusilla
Lineage: Eukaryota; Viridiplantae; Chlorophyta; Mamiellophyceae; Mamiellales; Mamiellaceae
Description: long non-coding RNA (MPUS_LNC000031)
Source: RNAcentral